ACAUAUGAGGCGAGGGUCACAAGUCGCCCCCGUCAUCGCGCUAGGGUUUCUUUUGCCUCUCCCUUUUGUCUCCGUCGUUCUACCGAAUCAACGUCGACGCUUCCGAAAUCUUCCCUGAAGAUCGAUUUUCGUCGCCCUUGUGUCGCAAGAUCUCGUGGAUUCCAUAGAAAUUGUCUAGGGUUCGUGCGGAGCCGGCGAUGUCAGCGAACAAUUCGGCCGGCGGAUCCGGAUCCUCGGACCAUCGCAGGCCGCCACCAUCCAAGGAGUCAGAGAGCGAUGAGGGCCCAUCGAACACCCUCUGGGUCGGGAACCUUCCCGCCGACACUACCGAUUCCGACGUGAUGGCCGUCCUCGCGAAGCAUGGCGCCUUGGAUUGUACCACGAUGCGCGGGUCGAGGAGCUGGUACACGUUCGUAUACUUCCGGCACGUCGAUGAAGCCAAGGCUGCAAAGGAAGCCCUUCGGGAUACCACAAUCCACGGGGCUGCAUCUAGGACCGAGUUUGCCCGACCGCCAAAAGCGGCUAAGCAGAUAUGGGUUGGUGGGUUUAAUACAUCCAUAACAAAGGAACAACUUGAAGAUGAGUUUUCGAAGUUUGGUAAGAUUGAAGAUUAUAAAUUCUUUAGGGAUCGGAAUUCAGCUAUUAUCGAAUAUCACAAAUUGGAAGAUGCCAUUGCUGCUCACAAAAAUAUGAAGGGGAAGCGGUUAGCUGGUGAACUAUUAUGUGUAGAUUUUCUGCGAUCUCUACCUCCUAGAAGGGAUUUGCCUGACCGCCAUGAUUCGAGAAAUGGAUACUUUGGCAACCGGACUUUCGGAGCACUAGAACGAUCUGUUCCACCAGAUGACUUGAGAAAUUUUCAUAAUUCUUCUUUGCUUGGGUCUAAGAGGGAUAUGUCUCAUGGAGCUCACAGAGAUGGUCAGCCAAGCAAUGUUCUGUGGGUAGGAUAUCCACCUUCAGUUCAAAUUGAUGAGCAGAUGCUUCAUAAUGCUAUGAUUCUUUUUGGUGAAAUUGAAAGGAUAAAGUGCUUUCCGUCGAGGCACUAUUCUUUUGUAGAGUUUAGAAGCGUUGAUGAAGCUAGGCGUGCCAAAGAAGGCCUACAAGGCCGUCUUUUUAAUGAUCCUCGGAUACAGAUACUCUUCUCAAGUAGUGAACUUGCACGUGGUAAGGAUAAUCUGCCACCUUUCUCUGCGUUAAGAACACGUAGACCCGAGAUGUUUUUGGAUGAAGGCCCUUUUGGGCCUUUGGAAAUGUUAGGUCCUGGUCGUUCAAUUGCCCUGGAUAAUUUUCCUGGCUCACUAAACCCUAAUGUAAUGCCUGGAACAAAUAUCUUCAAAAGGUCAUUUGGACCACAAGGAUUUGAUGCUCGUCAUGUGGGACCUGAGUUCCAUGAAUCUGGUGGUCUUGCACCAAACUUGUUUGAUGUCGAUGCUAGCAAAUCUAUACCUCAUAGUUGGAGACACCGAUCUCCUUCAGCUCCAGGCAUUCUACCUUCUCCUCCAGGUGUUCUCCAAGCUGUCCGAUCCAUGCCUGAAGGAUGGGAUGGUCUUGACAUAAGAGAUACAAAGAGGUUGAGGGUGGAUACUUCUCCCACCAAUAAUGGUUUACUUCAUGCAAGGAGGGUUGACAGCAGCAAGAUUGGGGAGCACCCCUUUCUGUUUUCUCAUCCUGAUGGAGGUGCUUCUAGUCGAGGUCAACUUGGUCCUGCCCCUCAUAGCCAUCGUGAUGUACACUCUUCUGAUAAAGACUACUGUUGGCGUGGUGUUAUUGCUAAAGGUGGAACUCAUGUUUGUUAUGCUCGCUGUAUACCAAUAGGAAAGGGCAUUGACUCUCCUUUACCUGAUGUUGUUAACUGCUCAGCCAGAACUGGAUUAGAUAUGCUUUCAAAACAUUAUGAUGAAGCCAUUAGUUUCGACAUUGUCUUCUUUCUACCAGAUAGUGAAGAAGAUUUUGCCUCGUACACAGAUUUUCUCCGGUACCUGGGUUUAAAAAAUCGUGCUGGGGUUGUGAAGCUUGAGGAUGGUACUACACUAUUUUUGGUGCCUCCAUCUGAAUUCCUGACCAAGGUACUGGGUGUCAGUGGUCCUGAACGUCUAUAUGGUGUUGUUCUGAACAUGCCACAGCAACCGAUCAGUGUGGCUGUGCAACAAUCACAACUGACGGUUCCUCCCCUAACAUCUCAUCACACUGAUCGGCAAAAUGUACCUAGCUCACAGAAAAGUUACAAUUUUGUCUCCCAUAUUGAAGAUCAUGCUUCCAGUGUUGAUUAUAAUCAGUCCUUGAAUGAGGAAAUGGCAUGCCAUGCAGUGACUGAAAAAUUCCUGAUACCACAUGGGAACGAACAACGCCUUGCACGAACAACUGCCUUGGAACAGGAAAGUAAUGCUGCUCUUGCUGCCUCCCAGUUGAAGGUCUCCUUGACUCCUGAUCUGAUAGCUACUUUAGCUUCUUUUAUACCCAACAACAACCAAUCAUCAGCUUCUGCUGCUGUUCAAUUGCCACCUAGCUCUACGGUGAGACCAACUUCAUCCUAUGCUGGGAUGCCUGAUGGAUCAAUGCAAUCUCAAAGUUGGAGGCAAGAGAAUCAAACAAGUGUUUCUGUUACUUCAAUGGAGCAACAGAGUCUGCAACCACAUUUAGGGCAAUACUUCAGUAACCAGGCACAGCCGGUCUCUCAGUUCCAACCAUAUACUAACACAUCCAGUGGGACUGAUCCCUCUCUGCAGCCGUUAAUUGGUUGUGUGCAGAUUCAAAAUUCUGCUCUUAACAUGCCUCAAGCUCUGGCUGCUCCAACUAGUAUGUUGAAUGGUUAUGCGAUAUCACAACACGGACAAUUUUCCACCACCCAGAGCAAUCAGUUUUAUCAGUUUGAUACUCCUGUUGCUUCUCGUGAUAACUAUGGAAGUUCACAAACAACACAUGCUGCUGAUGUGGUUGGUUCUAUUGUUCAGCAGCAACCUAGACUUGGUUCUUCAUCUGCUCAUGAUCGCAUUGGAAAUAUGCCUCAGCAUCAACUUUACAACCCUUUACCAAGUGAAAAGGGAAAUAUGGAGAUCCCUACCCAAGGGCAGCAGUUACAAAAUGUUUUUUCAAGUAAUGGCCAGGGAACAUCCCAAAGUGAUGAUGACAAGAAUCAGCGAUAUCAGUCAACCCUCCAGUUUGCUGCUAGCUUGCUUCUCCAAAUUCAACAACAGCAGCAAGCAAGUGCUCACACUGCUCAAGGAUCUGGAAACCAGCAGUGACAAGUAAUUUUUGGUGCAAGUCAUCUAUGAUUGUGGAGAUGGAGCCUAAAUUCAGGUCAAAGGACUGGAAGUAGAUUAAAGCCUUCAGGAAUCUGUUUGGAGUCUGCACUCUGGGAUUUUAGUUACUUGUGGGAGCUGCUUUGAGUCACCUAUUUGUUUCUCGCUGCAAGUUGCUGCCAUAAAGGUGGCUAAGUGGAGAUGGGAUCUCAAAAAGGUGGAUAUGUGGAUCGCUAGCUGUCCUCCCAUACUCGGCACAGCAAAUCUGCGACAUUGGCGAAAACAUGGGGAGUUUUUCCAAUUGGUUUGGUCGGACGGAAAAAUAGGUGGAGAUAUGUAGUCUCGUCUCACAAUGACAGGUUAAAGGCCAAGUGUAAUUAAUGUAAUCUCUUCCGCCUGCUCUCUCUUAGAAGAAGACAUUUUGUGUUUCUUAUUCUUGCCUGUGGCACUCGCUGGCACUUCGCUGGAAGUCAUAUGUAAUUUGUUGUUUGUGCAACCAUACGGGAUGCCACGAGCAUGCCUACUUAUGAAGGAAUCUAGUCAUAUAUAAUUACUUAUUUUUCUCCAA
This is an RNA transcript of Musa acuminata AAA Group (dessert banana), 3804 nucleotides long. It is a transcript of the gene named flowering time control protein FPA, with no coding region annotated. NCBI's taxonomy places the organism in Eukaryota, Viridiplantae, Streptophyta, Magnoliopsida, Zingiberales, Musaceae. The transcript is spliced from 7 exons. The record is from RefSeq and is a predicted model, not a curated record.